RNAcentral lists this ribosomal RNA (465 nucleotides) under uncultured Desulfobulbus sp. RNAcentral describes it as "bacterial SSU rRNA". It matches the Rfam family "Bacterial small subunit ribosomal RNA", at positions 912 to 1382 of the family's 1533-position model. Lineage: Bacteria; Pseudomonadati; Thermodesulfobacteriota; Desulfobulbia; Desulfobulbales; Desulfobulbaceae. The record is from RNAcentral.
GACGGGACCCCGCACAAGCGGUGGAUCAUGUUGUUUAAUUCGAUGAUACGCGAAGAACCUUACCAGGUCUUGACAUCCCCGCGAUGCUUUAGAGAUAAAGCGGAGGUAUUCGGGGAGACAGGUGGUGCAUGGUUGUCGUCAGCUCGUGUCGUGAGAUGUUGGGUUAAGUCCCGCAACGAGCGCAACCCUUGCCUUUAGUUGCCAGCAGUUCGGCUGGGCACUCUAAAGGGACUGCCGGUGUUAAACCGGAGGAAGGUGGGGAUGACGUCAAGUCCUCAUGGCCUUUAUGACCAGGGCUACACACGUACUACAAUGGCCGAUACAAAGGGCAGCGACACUGCGAGGUGAAGCCAAUCCCGUAAAAUCGGUCUCAGUCCGGAUUGGAGUCUGCAACUCGACUCCAUGAAGUUGGAAUCGCUAGUAAUCGUGGAUCAGCAUGCCACGGUGAAUACGUUCCCGGGCCUU